RNAcentral lists this long non-coding RNA (308 nucleotides) under Phoenix dactylifera (date palm). Its description in RNAcentral is "long non-coding RNA (PDAC_LNC016805)". Lineage: Eukaryota; Viridiplantae; Streptophyta; Magnoliopsida; Arecales; Arecaceae. The record is from RNAcentral.
CCGACGAACUACCAGCCGAAUCGAGGAGAAAUUCGAGGCGAAACGACCGAUUCCUCUCUUCCUCGGAGCAAGCGAGCGAGCUCGAACAAAAAAGCGAUCUUUUAUUCUCUCUCGGGUUUUCUUUCUGAAGGGCAGAAGGAAGUUUUGCCCCCGGGUCCAAACUCGAAUUCCAAUCGAGUUUUAUUCCCGGGGACACGCCGCUCGUGACACGUGUGGGACCUUGAGGGGACGGUCCUUCUUUGAAAGAGGGCAGUUUGGACGGUACAGAUUUGAUAUGCAUUCUGGGCUGCAUUGAAUCUGGACCGUCG